Molecule: ribosomal RNA, 859 nt
Filed under: Mammaliicoccus lentus
Lineage: Bacteria; Bacillati; Bacillota; Bacilli; Caryophanales; Staphylococcaceae
Description: bacterial SSU rRNA
Rfam family: Bacterial small subunit ribosomal RNA
Source: RNAcentral
UCGGGUGCUAUAAUGCAAGUCGAGCGAACAGAUGAGAAGCUUGCUUCUCUGAUGUUAGCGGCGGACGGGUGAGUAACACGUGGGUAACCUACCUAUAAGACUGGGAUAACUCCGGGAAACCGGGGCUAAUACCGGAUAAUAUAUUGAACCGCAUGGUUCAAUGUUGAAAGACGGUUUCGGCUGUCACUUAUAGAUGGACCCGCGCCGUAUUAGCUAGUUGGUAAGGUAACGGCUUACCAAGGCAACGAUACGUAGCCGACCUGAGAGGGUGAUCGGCCACACUGGAACUGAGACACGGUCCAGACUCCUACGGGAGGCAGCAGUAGGGAAUCUUCCGCAAUGGGCGAAAGCCUGACGGAGCAACGCCGCGUGAGUGAUGAAGGUCUUAGGAUCGUAAAACUCUGUUGUUAGGGAAGAACAAAUUUGUUAGUAACUGAACAAGUCUUGACGGUACCUAACCAGAAAGCCACGGCUAACUACGUGCCAGCAGCCGCGGUAAUACGUAGGUGGCAAGCGUUAUCCGGAAUUAUUGGGCGUAAAGCGCGCGUAGGCGGUUUCUUAAGUCUGAUGUGAAAGCCCACGGCUCAACCGUGGAGGGUCAUUGGAAACUGGGGAACUUGAGUGCAGAAGAGGAGAGUGGAAUUCCAUGUGUAGCGGUGAAAUGCGCAGAGAUAUGGAGGAACACCAGUGGCGAAGGCGGCUCUCUGGUCUGUAACUGACGCUGAUGUGCGAAAGCGUGGGGAUCAAACAGGAUUAGAUACCCUGGUAGUCCACGCCGUAAACGAUGAGUGCUAAGUGUUAGGGGGUUUCCGCCCCUUAGUGCUGCAGCUAACGCAUUAAGCACUCCGCCUGGGGGAGU